AACGAACGCUGGCGGCAGGUUUAACACAUGCAAGUCGAGCGCCCCGCAAGGGGAGCGGCAGACGGGUGAGUAACGCGUGGGAACGUGCCCUUUGCUACGGAAUAGCUCCUGGAAACGGGUGGUAAUGCCGAAUGUGCCCUUUGGGGGAAAGAUUUAUCGCCAUUAGGGCGGCCCGCGUCUGAUUAGCUAGUUGGUGAGGUAAAGGCUCACCAAGGCGACGAUCAGUAGCUGGUCUGAGAGGAUGACCAGCCACAUUGGGACUGAGACACGGCCCAAACUCCUACGGGAGGCAGCAGUGGGGAAUCUUGCGCAAUGGGCGAAAGCCUGACGCAGCCAUGCCGCGUGAAUGAUGAAGGUCUUAGGAUUGUAGAAUUCUUUCACCGGGGACGAUAAUGACGGUACCCGGAGAAGAAGCCCCGGCUAACUUCGUGCCAGCAGCCGCCGUAA
This 447-nucleotide ribosomal RNA is filed under the name uncultured bacterium. RNAcentral describes it as "partial 16S ribosomal RNA". It matches the Rfam family "Bacterial small subunit ribosomal RNA", at positions 29 to 523 of the family's 1533-position model. The record is from RNAcentral.